UUUAAGGAAUGACUUGAAUUUUGUAACAAUGAAGGAUUUUUAGGAUGGGCAAGAGUAAGGAAUUUUCAAAAAAAAAAAAAAGUGGCACACUAAAUACAAAGGUAGAAUUUUUAAAAGAUUUAUUUAUUUAAAAUAAUGACACCCAGA
Molecule: long non-coding RNA, 147 nt
Organism: Ochotona princeps (American pika)
Lineage: Eukaryota; Metazoa; Chordata; Mammalia; Lagomorpha; Ochotonidae
Exons: 2
Source: RefSeq, a predicted model, not a curated record